RNAcentral lists this long non-coding RNA (902 nucleotides) under Mytilus galloprovincialis (Mediterranean mussel). Lineage: Eukaryota; Metazoa; Mollusca; Bivalvia; Mytilida; Mytilidae. The record is from RNAcentral.
AUUAAAUGAUUAUUCAUCAACACUUUAAAUGAAGCUGUUUCAGCACUUAUAUAUCAUAAUUCAUACUAGUAUUCCGUUUAUCUCAAUUUAGACAUUUCUUUUCAAAUUUACCUUUAUCAAUGACUCAAUUUUCAAUUUAACUUAAUUCCUAUUUAUUUUUUUAAACACACUUAAAUUUACUUUCUAUCUUUUUUCACCUAAUCCUUAUUUAUCUACUUUAAUUUUAACUUUAACUUUUUGUUUGCUAUUUAAAAUAUUUCUUAUAUUAAUGUUAACUUACUUUCUAUUUAUGACUACAAUAAUUUUACUAUAGAACAUACUAUAUAUACACAUAUCGUGAAACAAACAGUUAAAUUUAAAAUCCAUUGUUUAUAACACAAGUCCGAAAUUAUGCUCCGUCCUGGUCCAUCUUUCUUCUUUUUCCGUACUCCUUUCUCCGCCUCCUUUCUCUGCACUCCUUUUUCUGUUUUCCUUUCAUCAUUCUUUCUAUACUUUCUCUGUUCUCCAUUCUCCUUUUUUUUUGCCGUUCGUCUUCACAACAUAUUUUCCACAAAUCUUUCUUUUCUAACGUCAAGAACGCUCGUACGCUAAAUAUUAUCUUCUUGGUUGUUUUGGAUUUUCUGUUACUUUUAAGCUUCAUCCACCGGAAAUCGUUUCUUUUCCUCCACCACUUUUUAUAGUUGAUUAAGUCGUUACCAAAAAUGUGUAAAGUUUACUAACCUUUAAAUAAAAACACAAAGUUCUGUUCAGCUGGAAUUUACAGAUAGUACACCAACUGAACAAACUUGUUUAUAUAGUACCCGGAGAAAUUAUCCCAUUAUUCAAAAUAAAGUCAUAAAUGUCGGUACUUAACUUUUGCAUCUUUGAAGUGACUGAUGAAUUAUCCUUUUUUAAACUCUUAA